ACUGGACAUCUGCAGAGAGGACAAGAAAUGGGGCACCGACACAAUCAAAAGCCCAGGGGAAAAGGCUUGAAGGUUCAGCCAAAAAUCCAGCCCCUCCCAAAGGACAAAGAUUCAACCCUCCAGAACAGUUCACAAACACUUCUCAGAGUCCUGCAUGCUGUGCAGGUGGUAAACAUCUCUGGGAGUCUCACCAACACUGUGAGUAAGGCAGCCUUUUUACCCACUUCACAGAAGGAGAAACUGAGGCUUAGUAAGGCCAAGUAACUAAUUCUGCCUCCCACACUUCACUCCCUAGAGUUUUAUGUGUGCAUGUGUUAAAGUUCUCCUUUUACCGCCAGUAGUGUUUAUGUAUAAUUAAAAUAGCUCACAUCUGUUGAUUAACAGUCACAUUACAACCUGCAUUAACUCUUCCACUUAAUGCCUGUUAAAGGAUUAGCAAACCAUCUUACAGAUGAGGAAGGCAAGGCACAGAGAAUUAACGUCCACACCAUGCUUACCAGUGAGUGGAGCAGGGAUUCAAACCUAGACCUUCUGUGUCUAGAGCCCUCCUCAGCCAUCACCUCUCGUUCUCCAUUAGAGUUGGUUAUCAUGUGAGUUGAGGCCCAAAGGUUAAUGGAAGUUAUUAUUCAUCUUCACCACAAAUUGAACUUUUUAUCUUUACCUACUGUCCUCUUCAUCCUUUUCAUGCUUUGGACCCUAAAACACACUUAGAUAUUAACUUUACCAGUUCUUCCUUUUUGGUUACAUGUGCCAGGUAUACUUUGUCAAACUUUUAAUUUUGGGUGUUUUGUUUUGUUUUUUGUUAGCGAGACAAGAUUUCACUGUCGCCCAGGCUGGAGUGCAGUGGCGCAAUCUCGGCUCACUGCAACCCCCGCCUCCUGGGCAUAAGCAAUCCUCCUGCCUUGGCCUCCCAAGUAGCUGAGACUACAGGCAUGAGCCACCACACCCAGCUAACUACUUGUAAUUUUUUUGGUAGAGACAGGUCUUGCCAUGUCACCCAGACUGAUCUCAAAACUCCUGGGCUCAGGCGACCCACCCACCUUGGCCUCCCAAAGUGCUGGGAUUACAGGUGUGAGCCACUGCAUCUGACCCAAUUUGUAAUUUUGAACCUCUUCUUACUAUCCUGUUUCAGAUUUUUUUUGGUAAACAACUAUAGCUGGAUUUUGUUUUCCAACCCAGUCUAAAGCAGUCUCAGAUUUUGUUAGAACUGAAGGAUCUGAUAUUUUUAUGUCAUUUUAUUCUAUGUGAAUGGUUUAUUUUACUCCUUUUUCCAUAGUUUUGAUGGUUUGGGCAAAUUACUAUUUAUUCUCUUUCUCAUUGUCAAUCUGUCAUUUCAGCAAAGGGUUGCUUCCUGAUCAUUAUAUAGAAACAGGGUAAGCACCUGCCUCCCCCUAGGACUCUCUCUGCUUCCUUCUGCCCUACCCGCCCCAGUAAGAGCUACCCCAAGAAGGCUCCUAUCCCUGCCACCUUCCACUGAUAUUUUCCUAUAAACUGUGAGACUUAACUAACAAUGAUUCCCUCUCCUUCCAUCUUGGGGUCUCUGCUCUGAUCAACUGUCAUUUCAUUACAGCCUUUCUUGAUGAUUUCCCUCACAUGUAACACAAGCGGGAAAUAUCCUCUGAAUUUCUCUUGCUCGUCUGCAAAAUAUAUUUCCUAGUCUGGUCAGGGAACGGUAUUAAUGCUCUGGUGAGGCUUCCUGGGCCCAGGCCAGCCAGAGUCCUCCGGCUUUCAGUGCUGCAGAUGAGGAAUCUGCUGCCAAUGUGUUUUUUUUCUUUCUCCUUUGUCAAUUAUCUAUUUAUUCUGUUGGGAAGCCUCUUUGAUUUUAUCUGUGGAUUUCAAGAAUGUCACCAGGAGAUGCCAAGGGUGUAUCUUUUUCUUUAAUGUAACCUUGCCUGGAACUCUAACAACCUUUUCAAUGUGCAAACUCAUGCCCUCUUCUGAUCAGGGAAAAUUUCUACUAUUAUUUAUUGAUCAUAUUCACCAUGUCCAGACCUGCUUCCUCUUCUCCUUCCAGAGCCCCUAACAUUUACAGGUAGAUGAAAAGACACCCACCAAACCUAUCUUUUCUUUCGUGACUUCCACCUGUGUUUCUGGUUUUCUGGGAGGCCUUUGUUUCUCAGAAACAGGAAAACCAUCCUCUUUUCCACCUGACAUUUUGAAUUUUCUAAAUUUGAAAAUCCUGGUUCUAGAACCGCUUUUCUUGGGCAGUAUCUGGGUUUCCCUGGGUUUUUGAAACCUAACACUUGUCCAGUAUGUGAUGCUUGGCUUUCCUUCUCCCUCCAGCUGGGGGUCCCUCAAGGCUACUCCAUGUCCCCAGCAGCCAGGUCCAGCUGUGGGGUCCCCUUCCAGUGGGUGCACGGUUAUGCCUCUGGCCCCUGACCUGCCCUAGGGUAGCAAUAGCUUUCAGCAACCUCUGGGACAGAGGGCAAGGGAAGGAGAGAGUGGAAAGACUCUAACCCCACCUGUCUCUGUUGGGAGGCCCACCCAGGACUCCAAGGACAGGAAUUGAUUCGCACUUUCUCUUCUGACUUGUUUUUGUAGAGAUAAGGUUUUGUCACAUGGCCCAGGCUGGGUCUUGAACUCCCAGGCUCAAGUGAUCCUCCAGCCUUGGCCUCCCAAAGUGCUAGGAUUACAGGUGUGAGCCAAUGCACCCAGCCAGGUGCCUGUGUAAGAGACCUUAGCCCCCUUGCCUCUUCUGCCAUGUGAGGACACAGGGAAUCAGAAAGUGGUCCCUUACCAGACACAAAAUCUUCUGGCACCUUGAUCUUGGACUUUGUCUCCAGAAUUGUGAGAAUAAAUUUCUGUUUAUAAGCC
This 2814-nucleotide long non-coding RNA is filed under the name Pongo abelii (Sumatran orangutan). RNAcentral describes it as "lincRNA". Lineage: Eukaryota; Metazoa; Chordata; Mammalia; Primates; Hominidae. The record is from RNAcentral.